Molecule: ribosomal RNA, 268 nt
Filed under: uncultured bacterium
Lineage: Bacteria
Description: partial 16S ribosomal RNA
Rfam family: Bacterial small subunit ribosomal RNA
Source: RNAcentral
UGAAGAUUUUGUGACUGAGUGGCGGACGGGUGGAGUAACACGUGAGCAACCUGGCCUUUCAGAGGGGGAUAACGGCUGAAACGGUCGCUAAUACCGCAUGAUGUGUUCGGAUGGCAUCAUCUGAACAUCAAAGAUUUAUCGCUGAAAAGAUGGGGCUCGCGUCUGAUUAGAUAGUUGGUGGGGGUAACGGCCUACCAAGUCUACGAUCAGUAGCCGGACUGAGAGGUUGAACGGCCCACAUUGGGACUGAGAUACGGCCCAGACUUCC